CGCGAUGGCUCAUUAAAUCAGUUAUGGUUCCUUAGAGCUCCUGAUCCUACAUGGAUAACUGUAGUAAUUCUAGAGCUAAUACAUGCAACUAAGCUCCGACCUUCGGGGACGAGCGCACUUAUUAGACCAUGAUCAACCGGGGGCAACCCCGAACGACUGGUGACUCUGGAUAAACUACCGCGGAUCGCAUGGCCUCGAGCUGGCGAUUCAUCUUACAACUGUCUGACCUAUCAACUAGAAGGUAGAGUAUAUGUCUACCUUGGUGAUGACGGGUAACGGGGAAUCAGGGUUCGAUUCCGGAGAGGGAGCAUGAGAAACGGCUACCACAUCCAAGGAAGGCAGCAGGCACGCAAAUUACCCACUCCUGGCAAGGGGAGGUAGUGACGAAAAAUAACAAUACGGGACUCUUUCGAGGCCCCGUAAUUGGAAUGAGUACGAUGUAAAAUCCCUAACGAGGAACUAAUGGAGGGCAAGUCUGGUGCCAGCAGCCGCGGUAAUUCCAGCUCCAUUAGCGUAUAUUAAAGCUGUUGCAGUUAAAAAGCUCGUAGUUGGAUCUGGGGAGCAAGCUGGCGGGACCGCUUCACUGCGGAACUGCCUGUCCUGCCCUUUGCGCCGGGCUUCACAACAUGCGGGUUGCUCUUCGAUGAGUGUCUCCGCGUGGCCCGGUACUCUUACUUUGAAAAAUUAGAGUGCUCUAAGCAGGCGGACACGCCUGAAUAAUGUUGCAUGGAAUAAUGGAACAGGACCUCGGUUCUGUGAAGUUGGUCGUCAGAACUGAAGUAAUGAUCAAUAGGGGCUGACGGGGGCAUCCGUAUUACGGGGCGAGAGGUGAAAUUCUAUGACCCUCGUAAGACGCCCAAAAGCGAAAGCAUUUGCCAGAAUGCCUUCAUUAAUCAGAACGAAAGUCCGAGGAUCGAAGACGAUCAGAUACCGUCGUAGUUCUGACCGUAAACGCUGGCGUCUGGUGAUUGUCAGGCGUGGGUCUAACGACCCUGACAGCAACCCCUCGGGAA
This 1013-nucleotide ribosomal RNA is filed under the name Laonice sp. D GT-2019. RNAcentral's name for it is "SSU rRNA". It matches the Rfam family "Eukaryotic small subunit ribosomal RNA", at positions 88 to 1097 of the family's 1831-position model. The record is from RNAcentral. Lineage: Eukaryota; Metazoa; Annelida; Polychaeta; Spionida; Spionidae.